UACGUAGGGGGCAAGCGUUGUCCGGAUUUAUUGGGCGUAAAGAGCGUGUAGGCGGCUUUACAGGUCCGUUGUGAAAACUCGAGGCUCAACCUCGAGACGCCGGUGGAAACCGUAAAGCUAGAGUCCGGAAGAGGAGAGUGGAAUUCCUGGUGUAGCGGUGAAAUGCGCAGAUAUCGGGAGGAACACCUAUGGCGAAGGCAGCUCGCUGGGACGUUACUGACGCUGAGACGCGAAAGCGUGGGGAGCAAACGGG
This 253-nucleotide ribosomal RNA is filed under the name uncultured bacterium. RNAcentral describes it as "partial 16S ribosomal RNA". It matches the Rfam family "Bacterial small subunit ribosomal RNA", at positions 524 to 776 of the family's 1533-position model. The record is from RNAcentral.